Transfer RNA from Camelus ferus (Wild Bactrian camel), 72 nucleotides. It matches the Rfam family "tRNA". From Rfam's summary of the family: Transfer RNA (tRNA) molecules are approximately 80 nucleotides in length. Their secondary structure includes four short double-helical elements and three loops (D, anti-codon, and T loops). NCBI's taxonomy places the organism in Eukaryota, Metazoa, Chordata, Mammalia, Artiodactyla, Camelidae. The record is from Rfam.
GAGGGGAUAGCUCAGUGGUACAGCACGUGCUUAGCACGCACGAGGUCCUGGGUUCAAUCCCCAGUACCUCCA